RNAcentral lists this ribosomal RNA (274 nucleotides) under uncultured bacterium. RNAcentral's name for it is "partial 16S ribosomal RNA". It matches the Rfam family "Bacterial small subunit ribosomal RNA", at positions 523 to 796 of the family's 1533-position model. The record is from RNAcentral.
AUACGAAGGUCCCGAGCGUUAUUCGGAAUCACUGGGCGUAAAGGGAGCGUAGGCGGCGCGGUAAGUCAGAUGUGAAAUCUCAGAGCUCAACUCUGAAACUGCAUCCGAUACUGCCGUGCUAGAGUAAUGGAGGGGUAACUGGAAUUCUCGGUGUAGCAGUGAAAUGCGUAGAUAUCGAGAGGAAGACCAACGGCGAAGGCAGGUUACUGGACAUUUACUGACGCUGAGGCUCGAAGGCUAGGGUAGCGAAAGGGAUUAGAAACCCUAGUAGUCC